Molecule: ribosomal RNA, 268 nt
Filed under: uncultured bacterium
Lineage: Bacteria
Description: partial 16S ribosomal RNA
Rfam family: Bacterial small subunit ribosomal RNA
Source: RNAcentral
GCAAGUCGCACGAGAACUCUUCUGCUUGCAGAAGAUAGUAAAGUGGCGCACGGGUGAGUAACGCGUGGGUAAUCUACCCUUGAAUUCGGGAUAACUUCGCGAAAGCGGGGCUAAUACCGGAUAACAUCCUUUGUCCUUCGGUACAUUGGAUCAAAGGUGGCCUCUACAUGUAAGCUAUUGUUUGGGGAUGAGCCCGCGUACCAUUAGCUUGUUGGUAGGGUAAUGGCUCACCAAGGCGACGAUCCCUAGCUGGUCUGAGAGGAUGAUC